Marmota monax (woodchuck) is the source of this 2749-nucleotide long non-coding RNA. RefSeq lists it as uncharacterized. Lineage: Eukaryota; Metazoa; Chordata; Mammalia; Rodentia; Sciuridae. The transcript has 3 exons. The record is from RefSeq and is a predicted model, not a curated record.
GCUGGGAGCCAGCAAGCUCAGCUUCUGGACUGGACAUGGAAGGGCCCAGCUGGAUCUCAGCUGGGUUCUUCCCUCCUCUUUAUAGGGACAAGCUUUCACACAGCAGAGAGAAAUGAGAGAUCCAGAAAUGAGGAAGCUGUGAAGGUCACAAUGCUGGAUUCCAAAACGAGUCUGCCUGACUCUGAAAUGCCAACCUUUGCGCCUACCCAAGGUCACAUAGCAGCACAACAAAAUCUUGAGCAAUUUUGGACCCAGCAAACAUAGACUUCCCAGGACAGACCGCUUGUCCUUGCCAUGGCCCUUCAUGCUCUGGUGAUGGAGAUCGCAGGGGUUCAGCAGCCCUCCAGCUAAUCACUUCUCCCUCCAAGAGGAGUAGCUAUUGCCUUGCAUCUCUGCCUCAUCAAAGGAGAACCAAAUUGGCUUGUGGGCAUUCUACUGGGAUUGGUAUGUGGCAUGUUGCAUUAAUAGAGUGUUUGAAGUACAGCCUUCAGAAAGUAUGCUUCCAUUUGCCACACUUUAUCAUAAUCAGAGACUCAGAGCAUCGACCACAAGAAAGAACAGAGUCUGAAGUCUUUAUUGAAUGAAAGAUAGAUAAGCAGAGUAGGGCAGGAGAAAGGUUGUAGAAAAGACCCAAUUCACGUUUUCAAUAACCAUGCACAUUUCCACAAUGUCUUAGGAGCAAGAUUAUGUCUUACAAGCAAGAUGACUCAAGGACGUUGUGGGGAAUGAGCGUGAAUUGACAAGACAAACUUCCAUAGUCUCUGGAGUGAUGUGCAAGGGUGACCCCAAAGGUCAAAGGACUCAGAUCAUAAACUCAUAGUGGGAAGGAACAAAAGAGAUCAGCUCCUCAUGUUAAAACUAGGACAGCUGAAGCUCAGGGAGUAUAUAGACUUAACCAAGGUCACGCAGGUGGUUGGUGAUGGAACAAGACCUGAAGUAUCCAGGUUUCCAGCAUCUGUUUAUGACCUCACGCUGACUUUUAGGAGGACAUGACUAUGAGCAAACAUAAAGGUUUUCAGAUGGCAGAAACCAAGGCACGGGUGUAAAAGGCCAGGGAAGUAUUCCAGGAGGACACAGAAUAAACUGAAGAGGCUUUGAAGAAUAGAUCCCAUUUAAAUAAAAGGGGAGCAGAGGACACUGCAGAAAGCAGGGGAUGCCCUCCAUCUGCCCAGAAUGUGCCAAACCUGGCAUCUCAAUAUCAGAACAAAGAGAUAAGCAGAUUCUUGUGAUGAAAAAUUGCUACCGCAGUAAAAUUAAAUCCCCCUUCCCGGAAGAAACAUAAGCCCUUGUAAAGACAAGAAAUCUAAACCUCUGUGUCCUCACUUAAUAGUUUAAAGAAACUUACAAGAUCCUUGAAAGGUUGAAGAGAGAAGCGGGGUAGAAUUCACUUUUUCUCCCUGCUUAAAGGAAUAGGGUUUCCUGCUAACAGCUGUAACACUCAGGAAGCACCAGAGGGUUUCAUCCCUGGUAGGGCAGCAGGGCAGGGACAGUUCCCCAGAGCGUGGGAGGGGAAUCCAGCUUCCCCAGAGGCUCAGCCAGUCACCAGUGGGGGAGGCACUCCAGGAAGCCUGAGACUCCCUCUCAGCUCAUUGGCCCAUCACCCAUCUCCCCCAACUAGGAUGGGAUGAAGGCUCUAAAACCAAGAUACCAAGACAGCCGCUCACGUUGGCCAGCAUUCAUGAAACAAUCGCAGGCGAAAAACGUAGAACCCAGGAUGGAGACGUACAUAGGAGGAAUUACGAUUGAAAAGAAAAAUGAAUGCAGUUGUGUCCAGUUGUCAGGAUGUUGGUUGUUUUUGUUUGUUUGGGGGUUUUGUUGUUUGUUUCCUCUUUUAAAAUGAUCUUCAUUAUAAUUUUAUGUGACUUAAAUAAUUAAAACAUUUUCAACUGUGCUUGCCUUUCUCUCCAACCCACCCCCAACAUACAGGGAGCUGGUAGAAGAAGCAGGCAAAGUUUUUCUCCAGCACUCAUUCUCCCACUCCAUUUCCCUAAUCUCUUCAUUUUAUAUCCUGCAUUAUCUUUCCCAGGCCUAAUUCUUUAACCAUUAUCUCAAAUUACUGAUUCUCUCUCUCUUCUUCCUCCUACCACAUACUCCCCCAAAUAUACGGAAUACUGGAACUGUCCCAGUCACAGCAGUGCAGCAGCUUACCUGUUGGAGGAAGGUGCAGGCAGAUGGGUGGCACCCCCAGGAUAUAUAUUCACUUACAGCUGGAAGUCUCCAAAGAUGGCCACUGUCAAUGCCUGCCUUCUCUGUGGAUGUAUGCUACUUCCUCCCCUUUUAUUUUGGCCAAUAAGAUGCAGUGGACAUGGCAUUCCAGGGCUUCCAAGACUAGGUAAUAAGAAGCCUUGCAGCUUGCUCUUGCCUCUCUGGGAAUACUCAUUUGUAGGAGACUGCUUUUGAGAACAUGGCUACCAUGCUGUGAGAAGCCCAAGCCAAUGGGAGAGGCCAAGUGUAGGUGGUCUAUUCAGUUGAUAAGUGUUGAUAGUCCAACAGCUGGCAUCUACCUCCAGGGCAUCCUGUCCAUCUAGCCCAGUCAAGAUGAAUCCAGCCACAGCCUCCAUAUCACUAAAACUGCAUGAGAGAGCUCAAGUGAAAGACACCCAGCUGUGCUUCCCCAGUCCACAAAACUGAGAGAUAAUAACCUGGCACUUGAAGACACCAAGUUUUCAGGUGGUUUGUAAUGUAAGAUAAAAGGAACAUUUUUAAAAAGUGAUAUGACAAUAAAACAUUUUCUGUGGUCCUUGAUUUG